Molecule: non-coding RNA, 999 nt
Organism: Cajanus cajan (pigeon pea)
Lineage: Eukaryota; Viridiplantae; Streptophyta; Magnoliopsida; Fabales; Fabaceae
Source: RefSeq, a predicted model, not a curated record
CUCAGUUGGGAGAGCGUCAGACUGAAGAUCUGAAGGUCACGUGUUCGAUCCACGUUCACCGCAUUUAAUUUAAUGAUUUUGUGAUUCCAAAUGGGUGUUAGCAAUCUUCAUAAACAAAUAGUAGGAAAUCCUCCUUUAUGUCACUCUUUCACUUUUGUUUGUCCUCGUUUUACUGAGUUCUGUAUUAACCCUUCGUUGUAUGUUUGUAUUUUAAUAAAUAAGCAUUUGGUUUUGCUGGAGUGAGUUACAAGUUUGGUUACUGACAAAUACAGAAAGUGGUCAUUGUCUUGAGAGUAUCAUUCCCUCAGAAUAAGGGAAUACCAUUCCUGGAAACAUCAGUUCAGUAGCCAUUAGACUCUCGGUAUUUUCUUGAGAUAAGAAAAACAUUAUUUGCUACCAUCACUGCACUGCCGUCACUCACUACAACAAUCAGGACCACCACCACCACCACCAAUUCCACUUUUGGAAUCAUUCUUUUCCUCAACUUACCAAACAUGAUAAGAGGAGUGAGAAUUCCAUUUCAUUUCUUUCCAUUACUGUUCCCAUCAAAACCAUUCCAUUGAUCCAAAAGGUAGCUAAAUGGUUCGCAUAUAAAUCCACAGGAUACUAUGUCCACACUAGGGUUGUCAAUGUCAUGAAAGAGCUGCUACUGUUUUAUGGUUGGAAAUGUUAUCCUUAUCCAAUAGUAUGCAAUAUGUGUUCUCCUUGGUUGAUUACCCUAUAGAUGAGUUUGCCUGCUAAUUAUCUUCAAGAAGUGAUAUAAUGAUAGACUUUGGGAGAAUAAGAUGACACCGAGGACUAUAGUAGUGUUUCAAGCUGUCUCCAUUGUAUAAAAGCAUCUGUUACACUAUAGAUUCUUGUACUUGAUUGAUUGAUCUCUUCACAUUUUAUACCCUUGUAAAGAGUGAUUUGUGAGUGGUAAUAUAAUUUUAAACUUCCCUUGAAGGGGAGUGUUGUGAUAUAAGUUGCUUCAAAACUGAUUUUUGUAUUGUAGUAUAG